Molecule: ribosomal RNA, 253 nt
Filed under: uncultured bacterium
Lineage: Bacteria
Description: partial 16S ribosomal RNA
Rfam family: Bacterial small subunit ribosomal RNA
Source: RNAcentral
UACGUAGGUGACCAGCGUUGUCCGGAUUUACUGGGUGUAAAGAGCGCGCAGGCGGUCGUUCAAGUCGAGUGUGAAAGCCCCCGGCUCAACUGGGGAGGGUCACUCGAUACUGAUCGACUUGAAGGCAGGAGAGGGAAGCGGAAUUCCCGGUGUAGUGGUGAAAUGCGUAGAUAUCGGGAGGAACACCAGUGGCGAAGGCGGCUUCCUGGCCUGUUCUUGACGCUGAGGCGCGAAAGCUAGGGGAGCAAACGGG